UGCUUGACUUCCUGGAUACGGUGGUGCUCGGCGACGAGGGCGGAGUCUGGUAGGACCAGGUGCACUCAGAGCCCUUCAGGUCCACGAUCACCUGGAGAGAGAGCGAUCAGUAGAGCGUAUACCUCCGCCAAAGGCUCAACAGUCGCUCUUUAGACUCCUGGUCAGAGGUCAGAGUGGAAACGUGGACUCGGACGGUCGUACCUGUUCGCUGGAGGCCGGCAGCUUGUGCGGGUCCAUCGUCAGCACCUUCAAGUCGUCUGUCAGGGUCUGCAGGUAAAUCAUCGUCACUAUGAAGGAGGUGCUGUGUGGGCGGAGCACUGACCACGACCGGCCUCAGCAUGGAGACGAAGCAGCAGAAGCGACUCCUCUCCUCCACCAGCGCCUUCCUCACCGCCUGCUUCUCCGUCUCCUCCAGCAGCAGGCGUCGACUGUGCGACUCACACAAACAUCCAAACAAUGUGGGAAAACACUCCAGCCGACUCGAGACGAAAGUUUUAUGACCCGGCAGAGCAGAAACAGAACCAGAAACACCAGCAGAACUUUCUGUCUCGUCUUCUCGCCUCCACCUGCUACAAUCACGGUUCAGAAUAAUCUCACAUGAUAACAAAGAACAAGACAGUGAAGACAGAAGAGGAGAAAGGUUUCAGUUUCAUCUCUGACAGAACUGUUCUUUUUUCUUGAGUGAAACCUUUGUUGGACCUGAUCCUGAUGUGCAGUCAGGUGUUGAACUUUCUGUCUUCAGGCUCGACUGAGCAGCUGUGACAGGAAGGAAGCGUCUCCGUCUCUAAUUCUGUAUCCAGGACUCAUUAUAACGUCCGUGUUCAGGACCACCAGCUCUACAUGUUGUGUUUUAUCUGUGACUGUUAUUAAUAUUGAACAUAUUAAAGUGUGUUUUAGUGAA
Long non-coding RNA from Acanthopagrus latus (yellowfin seabream), 901 nucleotides. RefSeq lists it as uncharacterized. Lineage: Eukaryota; Metazoa; Chordata; Actinopteri; Spariformes; Sparidae. The transcript is spliced from 5 exons. The record is from RefSeq and is a predicted model, not a curated record.